CGGAGCGGGGUUGGAGCAGCAGUCAGCUCAGGGCAGCUCGGGGAAGGCCGGAGGAGGACCCUGGUGGCGAUCGAGGGGUCAGAAACAGGAGGAGAGAGGCAUGGGGGAACCUGACAGGAAGUGAGGCUUCGAGACUUCAAAUACAAACAUUAUGAAAAACAAGCAACAUCUGCAAACAACACUCUUGCAAAGACACUUCCUGGACACUUGGAUGUAACAGAGCAAUCUCCAUGCAGCAGGAAACCAGAGAAGGCGAACUUUCAGCCACCUUAAUAUUUGGAUAAUCCUGCAUAAUGAUUUGAGGGUUGCAUCUGGAAAGCUCCACUGGCUCCUCUCCACGCUAGGCGCCUGGCUCACUGGGUGACCCGAGCCUUUGUCUCUGCUUCACAACCAACACUUGCAGAUACUGAGAAGAUGCCCUUAGCCUAUCUUGAGGGAGGGAAAAGGCAAGACGGGGGACGGGCAGUGUUGUCUACGUCUCUGCCCGAACCCAGCGUUUACCAGAAACAGCUUGUAAGUAUCAGGCUCUGCAUCUUGGAACAUUCUCCUGAUUAAUGCAGAGAGGAGCAAUGAAAGCUGCGCAUUUAGAGAUGACAUCAGCCAGGAUUCCUGUGCGGCGAGGGAAACGCAUUGCGCUCCUUCCCUUCCUUCUCCUCCCUUCCCUUCCCUCCUCCUUCCCUCUUCUGUCCGAAGGAAAGCCUCGGCAAACAGCAAAGGCACCGGGAGUCUGCAGGCUUGCACGCUCCAAACUGCUGGCCAAGGGUCAGCCUGACCUGCAGCUGUGGCACCAAAUAAAAUCAACGCAGCCCACAUUGCGCAAACACCCUCUGUGGCUCUUUAUUACCAAAUGAUAUGAACUUUGACCCAACCCAAACAAAAUUUAAUAUUUUCUCCCAAAUAUUUAAAAAAAAUUCAUUCUGGGGCUCGAGAGGAGUCAGGGAGGCUGCGUGCCGUAAUUUGACAUCUGAAUUAUUUCUGAGGCUAAUACGAAAGCUAUUCACAAGCUUAUUUGGAGAUGUGUCAAUCAAGAUAUCACUUGUGCGGGGAAGAUGGACCCGGGCUUAGGGCUGCAGAUAGCUUUCAGGGAACCACAAAAUAAAAGGAAGGCAAGCUCUGAUGAAUAUGUUACGUCUUCAUUCUGGACGAUGACAUGUUUUUUUUCCUCUCUUGGUGGAAAGUAUGAGUGUAGGAGAGCCGCGUCCCCAGGAUGUGCCUUUUUCCACACCUGUAAAAACGUUUUAACGUUUAUUAAAAACGA
This is a long non-coding RNA of Suricata suricatta (meerkat), 1258 nucleotides long. RefSeq lists it as uncharacterized. The transcript has 6 exons. The record is from RefSeq and is a predicted model, not a curated record. NCBI's taxonomy places the organism in Eukaryota, Metazoa, Chordata, Mammalia, Carnivora, Herpestidae.